GCUGGAGUCUGGAGACCGAGGGACACUAUCGGUGAACACUCGUGUCUUGGUUUCUCACAGGCAAAUCUGCCGACAGCAGAGACACAGAGCACACUGUCAGCAUUCAGUGGAAGAAUUUGACUGCGGGAUUUCACCAACAUGAAAAGACCAGACUCCACUGAUUCUGAACCUGACCCUGAACCUGGAACCAGCUGUAUGUCUGUGAGGAGGAGGAGGAGGAGUCGUUCAAUGGAUGUUGCUGAAAGUUUUAAUGGAGGGAAACACACAGCUGAUGACAAGAUGCAUCAGAGAUCAGACUCCUCUAAACCUGAAUCUGUAGCUCUAAGGAGUGAUCGAUCAAAGGAUGAACCCUAUGAGUUUAAAGAAAGACCACCCUC
Molecule: long non-coding RNA, 377 nt
Organism: Archocentrus centrarchus (flier cichlid)
Lineage: Eukaryota; Metazoa; Chordata; Actinopteri; Cichliformes; Cichlidae
Exons: 5
Source: RefSeq, a predicted model, not a curated record